This 497-nucleotide ribosomal RNA is filed under the name uncultured bacterium. RNAcentral's name for it is "partial 16S ribosomal RNA". It matches the Rfam family "Bacterial small subunit ribosomal RNA", at positions 28 to 507 of the family's 1533-position model. The record is from RNAcentral.
GAUGAACGCUGGCGGCGUGCCUAAUACAUGCAAGUCGAGCGAACAGACGAGGAGCUUGCUCCUCUGACGUUAGCGGCGGACGGGUGAGUAACACGUGGAUAACCUACCUAUAAGACUGGGAUAACUUCGGGAAACCGGAGCUAAUACCGGAUAAUAUAUUGAACCGCAUGGUUCAAUAGUGAAAGACGGUUUUGCUGUCACUUAUAGAUGGAUCCGCGCCGCAUUAGCUAGUUGGUAAGGUAACGGCUUACCAAGGCGACGAUGCGUAGCCGACCUGAGAGGGGGAUCGGCCACACGGGAACUGAGACACGGUCCAGACUCCUACGGGAGGCAGCAGUAGGGAAUCUUCCGCAAUGGGCGAAAGCCUGACGGAGCAACGCCGCGUGAGUGAUGAAGGUCUUCGGAUCGUAAAACUCUGUUAUUAGGGAAGAACAAAUGUGUAAGUAACUAUGCACGCCUUGACGGUACCUAAUCAGAAAGCCACGGCUAACUACGUG